GCAAGAUAAUUUUAAGUACACUCAAGAAAUAAAGAAAACUUUCAAAAUACACAGUAUUCUAUAAAAACCUAAUACUACAUUUACACCGCAAGGGCCAACUACCAUAGCUUCUUAAAGAAAUGAUAAUCUCACAUCCCUUUUGCAUCAUGGAGAAGCAACAAAAACAUAGCAAGUUAAUCUCCCGAAUGACUAUGAGCUACUAACCCUUAAAAAUCAAUGUUUCACAAUUGAUAAAGUAACUUUUAGUAGCAGCAACAAGCCUUUCAUAUAGCCAUAUAGCUGGUUUUUCUUUAAAAGCAUCACAGUGCUGCCUUAUAGUAUAAGUGCACCAUCACAACACUAUAAGAUUUAGCUUAUUGAGGAUUAGCUCAGUAAGCACAUAAAAAUACCUUACUAUUCAACCCUUAAAGUAGGCUUAAAAGCAGCCACCACAUAACGUUUUAGUUACAAUACUUACAUUAACCAAUAUUUAUAUACACCAUUUUAACCUUAAAGAAAUUUAACACGAAACCUUCUCUGUUAAUAAACAGGCAUUCUAUUAGUAUUAAUAAAUUACCCAUCUUUCACAACCUUUAAAAAACCUGAAACAUAACACUCUAUUUUUGAACUUAUACAAAGCGAACUCGGCAAAUAAUUAUUCCCUGCCUGUUUACCAAAAACAUCGUCUUUUGACCACAUUUGAUAAAAGAUAAUGCCUGCCCAGUGAAAAUUUUAAACGGCCGCGUUAGCGUGAGCGUGCUAAGGUAGCGUAAUAAUUAGCCUUUUAAUUGAAGGCCAGUGAAUGGCAAGACUAGGAAUAGCUGUACUUUGUAUACAAAAAAAACUUUUCAUCUAAGUGAAAAGACUUAGAUAACGAAGGAAGACGAAAAGACCCCGCGGAACUUUACCUUUUCUUAUACUUCUGUCUACAAACUUAAAAGUCUAUAAGGUUUGAUUGGGGCAAUCUUGGAACCAUCAAAGCUUCCAACUUUUUUACAAUAACAUUUAAAAUUCACUAAGGACUAAAAAGUAGUUACCCCGGGGAUAACAGCGUAAUCCAACUCAAGAGUACACAUCGAAAGUUGGGUUUGCGACCUCGAUGUUGGCUUAAGGAUAUCCACAUAAGUGCAACCGCUAUGACAGGACAGUCUGUUCGACUAUCAUACCCUUACACGAGCUGAGUUAAGACCGGCGCAAGCUAGGUUGGUUUCUAUCUCCUUUAUUAACAAACCUUUCUUGAUUGUACGAAAGGACCCCAAGAAAUGCAUUUAACAAAAGCAAUUUAUUAAAUCUGUACACUAAUUUUUCCAUAACACAG
Molecule: ribosomal RNA, 1297 nt
Filed under: Pseudocuneopsis capitata
Lineage: Eukaryota; Metazoa; Mollusca; Bivalvia; Unionida; Unionidae
Description: Cuneopsis capitatus 16S ribosomal RNA
Rfam family: Archaeal large subunit ribosomal RNA (bases 856-1199)
Source: RNAcentral